Molecule: small nucleolar RNA, 104 nt
Organism: Otolemur garnettii (small-eared galago)
Lineage: Eukaryota; Metazoa; Chordata; Mammalia; Primates; Galagidae
Source: Ensembl
AUACUUUUUUAGUUCCUAAGCAUGAUGAUUGCAUGUUCACACACAUAUAUGCAAUGUGCCUCCCUCAAACCUUGUUACAGCUUCAACAUAUUACCCAUCUGACA